GAAAAUCAUCCAGAUUGAGUUGGUUCCGCCACAAGACAUGGGUCAUAAUUGUACAAAUCUGAGAAAAGGAUGAUAUUGAGAGAAAACUAAGGGCUGACUAAAGAAGAAAAGUACAAUAUGAAGCCAUUCUUAACACGUCUGAAGCAGAACCUCAUUGGGUGAUUGAAACAGAUGUAACAGAAUUAACACAGUUUUAGUGUACAAACAUACAUCACGAUGGAUGACUUAUGCAACAAAUUUGAGUAGCUUAGUUUUGCAACAUCUAAAAUUAGUAAUUUUGCCUUAUUGCAGAUUACAUACCGUUUACACAAACGACAGCUCUAAGCAAGUUUAAAAGAUUUGGCUUAUCGUUUUAAAGUGUCUUUUAUUACAAAAGGUAUAAAACCUUAUAAAUAGAAUGUACAAUCCAUCUACGAUGCUCUAAAAAAAUAUAACAUAUUGUUUUAAAAUGGCAUUUAGGAAUCGCAAUGUAUUAUUGAUUGUUACUCAAAUAUUUAUUUAUUUAUAACAUUAUAUUGUAAUUCUUAUUUUCACGAGUGUAAAUUGCAAAAUUAGCUUAUUGUUUAUAUAUCGUAAUAAACGAAUAUGUAGUAUAUACUGUUAUACUCCUUAACAAAAAUAUACAAUUGUCAAAUAAACAAUAAGAAAGA
Sitophilus oryzae (rice weevil) is the source of this 650-nucleotide long non-coding RNA. RefSeq lists it as uncharacterized. The record is from RefSeq and is a predicted model, not a curated record. Lineage: Eukaryota; Metazoa; Arthropoda; Insecta; Coleoptera; Curculionidae. The transcript is spliced from 2 exons.